Molecule: small nuclear RNA, 19 nt
Filed under: Arabidopsis thaliana (thale cress)
Lineage: Eukaryota; Viridiplantae; Streptophyta; Magnoliopsida; Brassicales; Brassicaceae
Description: snRNA_09370
Source: RNAcentral
CGACUGUUUGGCAAUAUCG